AGACUCCACAGGAAAGCAGCAGAUGUUGACUUUACUUCGUUCAAGCCAACGUCAGCUCUCUCCUGCAGGAUGGGGAGAAGGCAGGAAGGGAUUUUCUUACGGGCAAAGAAGCCAAGCUGUAGGGAAAGAGAUAAGAGUCACCACCAAAUGCCCUGCCCAGGGACCUUGCCAACAGCCCUCAGAUGUAUCUGAAGUCUUCAAUUUUGCUCUGUUUCCAAAACUGAGAUUCAAAUUAAUUUUAUUUGGCUUAGUUUAACUCAACUAACAUAUUGUAGAGGACAGUAAAAGAGAUCUGGGCAGGACACCCACAGACUGCUUAGCUCCCCAGCACAAAUCGUUCUCCCUGCUAUAAUCAAGGAUCCCUUAACUUGUGGGCACCACGCCCCAUGCUCCCCACUAUAGCAGUGCUUACCUUCCAAAGGCAGAAAACAAGGAGAGCAAGCAGGAGCAGCCCUCCCAGGACACUGCCAAUGAGGAUCCACAGGGAGAUGAGGACAGGGCGAGACUGAAUCACCUCCAGGAGGCUCUGCGUAGGAAGAAGAGUUGUUUUUUACUUGCACCCUUUUUGCUCAGCUAGCCUCACCCCACACUGUAGCAAAGCCAGCCUCAAAAUAGAAGAAUAAAAGGAAAGAAACUGAGGUAGGAAUGGAGGCAGUGGAACCCCACCAUUCUAAUUCAUCACUUCUGACUCCCUGACUGCGGCCUGAUGAAGACACCUCUGUUCUAAAAUAGCUCACAGGUGCCCUUAUGUCAUCACCACCCUUGCUAGUUUCACAGUUCUCAAACUCAGGCUCCAGCCCCACCUCACUCCAACGAGAGGCUUCAGUCAGCUGUAGGACACUGCCCUCCUCGGUUCCCAGCUCGAAGACGCUGACCACUGUCAGAGACUUGAAUUUGGCCUGCGGAUGGAAAGACCUUUAAAGUGAGCCAUUAUCAGGUGAUAAGGCUCUCAGAACCCUAAUGGCAAAGAUGAGGCUGAGGGGCACAACGUCCAGACCAGAGGAAACCUUCCAAACCAGAGGAGAAGACUGGAGACCAAGGGGGAAAGAGAAGAACGAGUUGCAGACACCAGCACUUUCCGCCGACCACCUCGAACCAUGAAUGGGUCCUUCCUAGGAGGGAUGGAUAAAAGAGAGCCAGAGUUGAAGGAGCACCAGAAGCCUC
Long non-coding RNA from Hippopotamus amphibius kiboko, 1164 nucleotides. RefSeq lists it as uncharacterized. NCBI's taxonomy places the organism in Eukaryota, Metazoa, Chordata, Mammalia, Artiodactyla, Hippopotamidae. The record is from RefSeq and is a predicted model, not a curated record. The transcript is spliced from 3 exons.